Hemiscyllium ocellatum (epaulette shark) is the source of this 70-nucleotide small nucleolar RNA. RefSeq annotates it as small nucleolar RNA SNORD42. The transcript has a single exon. NCBI's taxonomy places the organism in Eukaryota, Metazoa, Chordata, Chondrichthyes, Orectolobiformes, Hemiscylliidae. The record is from RefSeq and is a predicted model, not a curated record.
GUGCAAAAUGAUGGAAACUGUUUCACCUGAUCAAUGUGAAGAAUUUGAUUCAAAGGAACCACUGAUGCAC